CCUACGGGAGGCAGCAGUGAGGAAUAUUGGUCAAUGGACGAGAGUCUGAACCAGCCAAGUAGCGUGAAGGAUGACUGCCCUAUGGGUUGUAAACUUCUUUUAUAUGGGAAUAAAAUGUUCCACGUGUGGGAUUUUGUAUGUACCAUAUGAAUAAGGAUCGGCUAACUACGUGCCAGCAGCCGCGGUAAUACGGAGGAUCCGAGCGUUAUCCGGAUUUAUUGGGUUUAAAGGGAGCGUAGGUGGAUUGUUAAGUCAGUUGUGAAAGUUUGCGGCUCAACCGUAAAAUUGCAGUUGAAACUGGCAGUCGUGAGUACAGUAGAGGUGGGCGGAAUUCGUGGUGUAGCGGUGAAAUGCUUAGAUAUCACGAAGAACUCCGAUUGCGAAGGCAGCUCACUGGACUGCAACUGACACUGAGGCUCGAAAGUGUGGGUAUCAAACAGGAUUAGAUACCCCAGUAGUC
This 460-nucleotide ribosomal RNA is filed under the name uncultured bacterium. Its description in RNAcentral is "partial 16S ribosomal RNA". It matches the Rfam family "Bacterial small subunit ribosomal RNA", at positions 338 to 795 of the family's 1533-position model. The record is from RNAcentral.